Molecule: ribosomal RNA, 468 nt
Filed under: uncultured bacterium
Lineage: Bacteria
Description: partial 16S ribosomal RNA
Rfam family: Bacterial small subunit ribosomal RNA
Source: RNAcentral
GACGAACGCUGGCGGCGUGCUUAACACAUGCGAGUCGAACGAAAAGGCCCGGCUUUUGCGGGGUUCUCGAUUGGCGAACAGGGGAGUAAAACGUGAGUAACCUGCCCUUGACUUUGGGAUAACUUCAGGAGAAUCGGGCUAAUACCGGAUAUGAUCUCCUGCUGCGUGUUGGUGGUUGGAAAGUUUCGGCGUUGGGGUAUCGACUGGAGGCAUAUCAGCUUGUUGGUGGGGUAGGGGCUUACCAAGGCUUUGACGGGUAGCCGGCCUGGGAGGGUUGACGGCCACAUUGGUCCUGAGAUACGGCCCAGACUCCUAUCGGACGCAGUAGUCGGGAAGAUUGCACAAUGGGCGGAAGCGUGAUGGAAAAACGCCGCGUGCGGAAUGCCCGGCUAUGGGGUGUAAACCGAUUUCGACUGUGCUGAACAGUGCGUGACGGUAAUGGGUCAAGAAGCCACGGCUAACUACGUG